RNAcentral lists this ribosomal RNA (550 nucleotides) under uncultured bacterium. RNAcentral describes it as "partial 16S ribosomal RNA". It matches the Rfam family "Bacterial small subunit ribosomal RNA", at positions 355 to 912 of the family's 1533-position model. The record is from RNAcentral.
UGGGGAAUAUUGCACAAUGGGCGCAAGCCUGAUGCAGCAACGCCGCGUGGGGGAUGAAGGCCUUCGGGUUGUAAACCCCUUUUAGCAGGGAAGAAGCGAAAGUGACGGUACCUGCAGAAAAAGCGCCGGCUAACUACGUGCCAGCAGCCGCGGUAAUACGUAGGGCGCAAGCGUUGUCCGGAAUUAUUGGGCGUAAAGAGCUCGUAGGCGGUUUGUCGCGUCUGCUGUGAAAGUCCGAGGCUCAACCUCGGAUCUGCAGUGGGUACGGGCAGACUAGAGUGUGGUAGGGGAGACUGGAAUUCCUGGUGUAGCGGUGGAAUGCGCAGAUAUCAGGAGGAACACCAAUGGCGAAGGCAGGUCCCUGGGCCAUAACUGACGCUGAGGAGCGAAAGCGUGGGGAGCGAACAGGAUUAGAUACCCUGGUAGUCCACGCCGUAAACGGUGGGCACUAGAUGUGGGGGCCUCUUUCCAUGAGUUCCGCGUCGCAGCUAACGCAUUAAGUGCCCCGCCUGGGGAGUACGGCCGCAAGGCUAAAAACUUAAAGGAAUUG